CCUACGGGGGGCUGCAGUGAGGAAUAUUGGUCAAUGGUCGGGAGACUGAACCAGCCAAGCCGCGUGAGGGAGGAAGGUACAGAGUAUCGUAAACCUCUUUUGUCAGGGAACAAAGGCGGGGACGUGUCCCCGGAUGAGUGUACCUGAAGAAAAAGCAUCGGCUAACUCCGUGCCAGCAGCCGCGGUAAUACGGAGGAUGCGAGCGUUAUCCGGAUUUAUUGGGUUUAAAGGGUGCGCAGGCGGUCUGUUAAGUCAGCGGUAAAAGCCCGGGGCUCAACCCCGGCGAGCCGUUGAAACUGGCAGUCUCGAGUUGGAGAGAGGUAUGCGGAAUGCGCGGUGUAGCGGUGAAAUGCAUAGAUAUCGCGCAGAACUCCGAUUGCGAAGGCAGCAUGCCGGCUCCACACUGACGCUGAGGCACGAAAGCGUGGGUAUCGAACAGGAUUAGAUACCCUAGUAGUC
RNAcentral lists this ribosomal RNA (459 nucleotides) under uncultured bacterium. RNAcentral's name for it is "partial 16S ribosomal RNA". It matches the Rfam family "Bacterial small subunit ribosomal RNA", at positions 338 to 795 of the family's 1533-position model. The record is from RNAcentral.